GAUUAGAGUUUGAUCAUGGCUCAGAUUGAACGUUGGCGGCAGGCCUAAUACAUGCAAGUCGAACGGUAACAGCAGAGCUUGCUCUGGCUGACGAGUGGCGGACGGGUGAGUAACGCGUAGGAAUCUACCCAGUAGCGGGGGAUAGCCCGGGGAAACCCGGAUUAAUACCGCAUACGCCCCACGGGGGAAAGGAGGGGAUCACUUCGGUGACCUUCCACUAUUGGAGGAGCCUGCGUUGGAUUAGCUAGUUGGUAGGGUAAAGGCCUACCAAGGCAACGAUCCAUAGCUGGUCUGAGAGGACGAUCAGCCACACUGGGACUGAGACACGGCCCAGACUCCUACGGGAGGCAGCAGUAGGGAAUAUUGUGCAAUGGGCGAAAGCCUGACACAGCCAUGCCGCGUGUGUGAAGAAGGCCCUAGGGUUGUAAAGCACUUUCAGCGGGGAGGAAAAGAUUGUCUUAAUACGGCAGUUCUAUGACGUUACCCGCAGAAGAAGUACCGGCUAACUCCGUGCCAGCAGCCGCGGUAAUACGGAGGGUACAAACGUUAAUCGGAAUUACUGGGCGUAAAGCGCGCGUAGGUGGUUUAUUAAGUGGGAUGUGAAAGCCCCGGGCUUAACCUGGGAACUGCAUUCCAAACUGAUAAACUAGAGUACGAUAGAGGGGGGUAGAAUUCAGAGUGUAGCGGUGAAAUGCGUAGAGAUCUGAAGGAAUACCAGUGGCGAAGGCGGCCCCCUGGAUUGAUACUGACACUGAGGUGCGAAAGCGUGGGUAGCAAACAGGAUUAGAUACCCUGGUAGUCCAUGCCGUAAACGAUGUCAACUAGCCGUUGGAAGACUUGAUCUUUUAGUGGCGCAGCUAACGCAAUAAGUUGACCGCCUGGGGAGUACGGCCGCAAGGUUAAAACUCAAAUGAAUUGACGGGGGCCCGCACAAGCGGUGGAGCAUGUGGUUUAAUUCGAUGCAACGCGAAGAACCUUACCUGGCCUUGACAUCCAGAGAACUUUCUAGAGAUAGAUCGGUGCCUUCGGGAACUCUGUGACAGGUGUUGCAUGGCUGUCGUCAGCUCGUGUCGUGAGAUGUUGGGUUAAGUCCCGUAACGAGCGCAACCCUUAUCCUUACUUGCCAGCACUUCGGGUGGGAACUUUAAGGAGACUGCCGGUGACAAACCGGAGGAAGGAGAGGAUGAUGUCAAGUCAUCAUGGCCCUUACGGCCUGGGCUACACACGUGCUACAAUGGGGAGUACAAAAGGGCCGCAAGACCGCGAGGUGGAGCAAACCCCAGAAAAUUGAUCGUAGUCCGGAUCGGAGUCUGCAACUCGACUCCGUGAAGUCGGAAUCGCUAGUAAUCGCGAAUCAGCAUGUCGCGGUGAAUACGUUCCCGGGCCUUGUACACACCGCCCGUCACAUCAUGGGAGUGGGCUGCAAAAGAAGUGGCUAGUUUAACCCCUUAUCUUCGGAGAUGGGGAGAACGGUCACCACUUUGUGGUUCAUGACUGGGAUGAAGUCGUAACAAGGUAACCGUAAAUCGUCGACCUGCAGGA
Molecule: ribosomal RNA, 1542 nt
Filed under: uncultured prokaryote
Description: partial 16S ribosomal RNA
Rfam family: Bacterial small subunit ribosomal RNA
Source: RNAcentral